UGGGGAAUAUUGGACAAUGGGCGCAAGCCUGAUCCAGCCAUGCCGCGUGGAUGAUGAAGGCCUUAGGGUUGUAAAGUCCUUUUAACGGGGAAGAUAAUGACGGUACCCGUAGAAUAAGCCCCGGCUAACUUCGUGCCAGCAGCCGCGGUAAUACGAAGGGGGCUAGCGUUGCUCGGAAUUACUGGGCGUAAAGCGCACGUAGGCGGCUUCUUAAGUCGGUGGUGAAAUCCUGGAGCUCAACUCCAGAACUGCCUUCGAUACUGGGAAGCUCGAGUCCGGGAGAGGUGAGUGGAACUGCGAGUGUAGAGGUGAAAUUCGUAGAUAUUCGCAAGAACACCAGUGGCGAAGGCGGCUCACUGGCCCGGUACUGACGCUGAGGUGCGAAAGCGUGGGGAGCAAACA
RNAcentral lists this ribosomal RNA (402 nucleotides) under uncultured Rhodoplanes sp. RNAcentral's name for it is "bacterial SSU rRNA". It matches the Rfam family "Bacterial small subunit ribosomal RNA", at positions 355 to 774 of the family's 1533-position model. RNAcentral also lists the same sequence under 1 other name. The record is from RNAcentral. Lineage: Bacteria; Pseudomonadati; Pseudomonadota; Alphaproteobacteria; Hyphomicrobiales; Nitrobacteraceae.